RNAcentral lists this ribosomal RNA (636 nucleotides) under Lythrum salicaria. RNAcentral's name for it is "LSU rRNA". It matches the Rfam family "Eukaryotic large subunit ribosomal RNA", at positions 23 to 671 of the family's 3401-position model. Lineage: Eukaryota; Viridiplantae; Streptophyta; Magnoliopsida; Myrtales; Lythraceae. The record is from RNAcentral.
ACCCGCUGAACUUAAGCAUAUCAAUAAGCGGAGGAAAAGAAACCAACCGGGAUUACCUCAGUAACGGCGAGUGAAGCGGUAACAGCUCAAAUUUGAAAUCUGGCUCCUUCGGAGUCCGAGUUGUAAUUUGUAGAAGAUGCUUUGGGUUGUGGGCUCGGCCUAAGUUCCUUGGAACAGGACGUCAUAGAGGGUGAGAAUCCCGUAUGUGGCCAUGGCCCGCGCCUAUGUAAAGCUCUUUCGACGAGUCGAGUUGUUUGGGAAUGCAGCUCAAAAUGGGUGGUAAAUUUCAUCUAAAGCUAAAUAUGGGCCAGAGACCGAUAGCGCACAAGUAGAGUGAUCGAAAGAUGAAAAGCACUUUGGAAAGAGAGUUAAACAGUACGUGAAAUUGUUGAAAGGGAAGCGCUUGCAACCAGACUUGGGCGCUGCCGAUCACCCCGAGUUCUCUCGGGUGCACUCGACAGCGCACAGGCCAGCAUCGGUUCGGGUGGCUGGAUAAAGGCCGUAGGAAUGUAGCUCUCUUCGGGGAGUGUUAUAGCCCACGGUGCCAUGCAGCCCAGCCGGACCGAGGACCGCGCCUUCGGGCUAGGAUGCUGGCGUAAUGGUUGUAAGCGACCCGUCUUGAAACACGGACCAAGG